CGACGAUCAGUAGCCGGCCUGAGAGGGUGAACGGCCACAUUGGGACUGAGACACGGCCCAAACUCCUACGGGAGGCAGCAGUGGGGGAUAUUGGACAAUGGGGGGAACCCUGAUCCAGCGACGCCGCGUGAGUGAAGAAGUAUCUCGGUAUGUAAAGCUCUAUCAGCAGGGAAGAAGAAAUGACGGUACCUGAGUAAGAAGCCCCGGCUAACUACGUGCCAGCAGCCGCGGUAAUACGUAGGGGGCAAGCGUUAUCCGGAAUUACUGGGUGUAAAGGGAGCGUAGACGGUGAUGUAAGUCUGGAGUGAAAGGCGGGGGCCCAACCCCCGGACUGCUCUGGAAACUAUGUGACUGGAGUGCAGGAGAGGUGAGCGGAAUUCCUAGUGUAGCGGUGAAAUGCGUAGAUAUUAGGAGGAACACCAGUGGCGAAGGCGGCUCACUGGACUGUAACUGACGUUGAGGCUCGAAAGCGUGGGGAGCAAACAGGAUUAGAUACCCUGGUAGUCCACGCCGUAAACGAUGAUCACUAGGUGUGGGUGGGUAUGGACCCAUCG
Molecule: ribosomal RNA, 554 nt
Filed under: uncultured bacterium
Lineage: Bacteria
Description: bacterial SSU rRNA
Rfam family: Bacterial small subunit ribosomal RNA
Source: RNAcentral